Molecule: ribosomal RNA, 449 nt
Filed under: uncultured bacterium
Lineage: Bacteria
Description: partial 16S ribosomal RNA
Rfam family: Bacterial small subunit ribosomal RNA
Source: RNAcentral
AACGAACGCUGGCGGCAUGCCUAACACAUGCAAGUCGAACGAGAUCUUCGGGUCUAGUGGCGCACGGGUGCGUAACGCGUGGGAAUCUGCCCUUUGGUUCGGGAUAACAGUUGGAAACGACUGCUAAUACCGGAUAAUGACGAAAGUCCAAAGAUUUAUCGCCAGAGGAUGAGCCCGCGUAGGAUUAGCUAGUUGGUGUGGUAAAGGCGCACCAAGGCGACGAUCCUUAGCUGGUCUGAGAGGAUGAUCAGCCACACUGGGACUGAGACACGGCCCAGACUCCUACGGGAGGCAGCAGUGGGGAAUAUUGGACAAUGGGCGGAAGCCUGAUCCAGCAAUGCCGCGUGAGUGAUGAAGGCCUUAGGGUUGUAAAGCUCUUUUACCCGGGAUGAUAAUGACAGUACCGGGAGAAUAAGCUCCGGCUAACUCCGUGCCAGCAGCCGCAGUAA